RNAcentral lists this ribosomal RNA (519 nucleotides) under uncultured Pseudomonas sp. Its description in RNAcentral is "partial 16S ribosomal RNA". It matches the Rfam family "Bacterial small subunit ribosomal RNA", at positions 337 to 847 of the family's 1533-position model. Lineage: Bacteria; Pseudomonadati; Pseudomonadota; Gammaproteobacteria; Pseudomonadales; Pseudomonadaceae. The record is from RNAcentral.
UCCUUACGGGAGGCACCAGUGGGGAAUUUUGGCCAAUGGGGGAAAGCUGGAUCCAGCCAUCCGGCGUGUGUGAAGAAGCUCUUCGGAUGGUAAAGCACUUUAAGUUGGGAGGAAGGGCUUUUGUUUAAUCCCGGGUGGUUUUGACGUUACCGACAGAAUAAGCCCCGGCUAAUUUCGUGCCAGCAGCCGCGGUAAUACGAAGGGGGCAAGCGUUAUUCGGAAUUACUGGGGGUAAAGCGCGGGUAGGGGGUUUUUUAAGUUGGAUGUGAAAGCCCCGGGCUCACCCUGGGAAUUGCAUCCAAAACUGGCCAGCUAGAGUUUGGCAGAGGGUGGUGGAAUUUCGGGUGUAGCGGUGAAAUGCGUAGAUAUUGGAAGGAACACCAGUGGCGAAGGCGACCCCCUGGGCUAAUACUGACACUGAGGUGGGAAAGCGUGGGGAGCAAACAGGUUUAGAUCCCCUGGUAGUCCACCCCGUAAUCCGAUUGGGGGGGGCCGGGGGGGGAGUCCCCCCCCCGUGGC